AGGAGAGAUCCCACUCUGGUGUCUGCCCUGGAAGAGUGCUAGCAGCCAUCUGGAGCCACAGCAGCAGGUUGCACUUCAGUUGUACAUGUGUGGCACAGACUGAUAUUUACCAGGCACAUAAAGCUCUCCUGGAAUCGAAGCAGAGCGCUGGGCACGCGAGACAAGCAGGGCCAGGCACAGGAAUGAGAAUCUAAAACUGGAAAGUGCAUGUGAAAUCAGCUAUGGUCUGCCUGGGAGAUGGCGCAUGCUCUUGCACACCCUAACUCAGAUAUCACCAAAUGAUGGAGCUUUUGUCUCU
RNAcentral lists this long non-coding RNA (298 nucleotides) under Struthio camelus australis. Its description in RNAcentral is "lncRNA (ENSSCUG00000014896.1)". The record is from RNAcentral. Lineage: Eukaryota; Metazoa; Chordata; Aves; Struthioniformes; Struthionidae.